RNAcentral lists this long non-coding RNA (1922 nucleotides) under Pan troglodytes (chimpanzee). RNAcentral's name for it is "long non-coding RNA NONPTRT001547". The record is from RNAcentral. Lineage: Eukaryota; Metazoa; Chordata; Mammalia; Primates; Hominidae.
CCUGAAGUCAGUGGUUGUGAGGGCUGCCUGGUUUUCAGUUUUUCUGUAGUGGGCCUAGUGUUGGGCACCAAGACCAAGUCCCACACUUACUUCCCUUUUUAUUCCCCAGGUGUUUGGUAUCUCUCCCUGCACUGUGCUGUCUGAGGUUGGGGAUAAGAAAUGGAGAAUACCAAACUAUAUUUACUGUUUACAGUAGUAAAGGACAACAAAUAAUGUACAAAUUGGUGAAUAAACACAACAGAGCCAACAAACAUCCCACCCGAGCCCAUACAGCAAACAGGAAAUGAGAACAUUUCAGCAAGAUUUCAAGCAAGCAAGAGACGAUGGGUCAUCGUUCAGGUGACUAUAAAAAGGCGGAGAAUGGCCACCAAGCAGCAAUGGAGCCUCAGGGAAGGACAAUAGGCAGAACUAUGAAAAUGUUUAAUUGGUAUAGAUCCCAAAAUAUUUCACAGAACUGAAAUCACCAGACUAAUGCAUAAAUUCAAUACAUAUUUGGAAAGCAGCACGGCACAAACCCACGAGAAGAACAUGAAGUCAUCAUUCCAUGGGUUCAUUUGUAACCACACUUGGAAGUAGCUCUUAUACACGACAACGUAACUGCAAAUUCAGCAAUACUUAGUCUUACUUUUUUAUGUAUAGACCAUAAUCAUUCACCAGAAGCAAAUACUAGAAGAAAUCUGAGGCCACAACACCAUUACCAAAUGAGAAAUGUGGGAAUUUCUUCAAUAUUAAGAGGGAGAAAAAGGCCAAUUUUGGUUGUGCCAAUCCUUGCCUGUGUACCAAUGCCAGGUACUGAGCAGGGAGUGGGGUGGGAGGGGUGGCAGGGGGGUGGGUCCUGGGCCUCAGACCCCGAGGUUACAUGCUUGAGGGCCAGAGAGCAUGUGGGGUCAAAUUACCAAAAGACUCGGUUAUUUUUUAACCUCUGAAGAAGCAUUCCAGUAUUUUCCCUUCAACUUUUCCAUAUACUGACAAAGCUUAAAUUUGCAAUAUUUAGCAUUUUAAUCAUCUGUGCCUGUAACAGCAAGUGACUCUGUCCUCCCUACCAACCUUGCCCCCAAUACCUGUCCAACAGCUACAUCCCCACUGCGGGAAACACCAAUUCUCUAUGUGACUGGAGUGAGCAGGGGAGAGGCAACCAACUCAGGAGUCAGAUCCCUGGCCAGACUAAAAGCGAACAUUCAGGCUAUAAUUUUGGGGUUAAAAAAAUGUUGUAGGAGGGGGGGAAAAACACAAAUGAGCACACAAAAGUACCCAAAAUAUCUUGCAACUCAUUUUACCUGAACAAAGAUAACAAUUCUGAUUGGCCCAAUUUAAGUUACAGAUUCAUCCCUGCAGAUAUAGUUUUGAGUUGCACUUGAAGUACAUCAAAGAGAGGAAAAUCAUCGUGGUGAAUGUCCUCGAGUUUCCGCAGACGCCUCUGUGGUCGGCAUGGUCACGUGCUCACCAUUCAACAGCAAUGCGAGGAUGGACGGCCCGGGCUGGGGACGGGCCCUCUAGAAACUGUGCCCUGCCAGGCUGCUCUCCGGCACACCUCCCGUCUGCUGCUGGAACACGUCGAUGGUGUCCUCGUCCUCCAUCUCCAGCUGUGCUGGAGUGUCAGUUUCAUUGAUUGGCUGCCCGUCGAACCUGAAUCUGAUCUGCCUCAUUGACAAGCCCUGCCUCUCGCAGUAGGCCUUCAUCAGCUUGCUCAGCGGCGUGUGCCUCUUGAUCUUGAACUGCACCACGGAGCCGUCCUGCCCGGCCACCUUCAGGUUGAUGUGAUCAUUCUCUGUCUUCACACCCUCCUUGGGCUUCUCCUCGGACAUGGCUGCGCGAGCGGCGCGGGCAGGCGGCGCGGGGGAAGCAGCGCGGAGCGGGCGAGUCACGCUCUCGGCCCCGCCGCUCUCCCCUAUUCCCUCUUUUUUUAAAAAAAAGGUCUUUUA